This is a long non-coding RNA of Cydia splendana, 281 nucleotides long. RefSeq lists it as uncharacterized. NCBI's taxonomy places the organism in Eukaryota, Metazoa, Arthropoda, Insecta, Lepidoptera, Tortricidae. The transcript is spliced from 3 exons. The record is from RefSeq and is a predicted model, not a curated record.
GGUAGUUGUACUUGUAGGUUCUGUAGUCGUGGUUGUUGCUUCUGUUGUCGUUGUCGUAGUAGUUGGUUCUAUAGUUGUAGUUGUGGCUUCAGUGGUCGUGGUCGUAGUCGUAGGUUCUGUUGUCGUAGUUGUGGCUUCGGUGGUUGUAGUAGUAAUAGGUGCCGUAGUUGUAGCUUCAGUAGUAGUUGUCGUUGUUUCAGUAGUCGUUGUGGUUGGUUCCGUAGUAGUAGUCGUAGCCACAGUGGUUGUAGUUGUUCCUUCGGUUGUCGUCGUUGUAGUAG